GUUCUCGCUUCAGCAGCACACAUACUAAAAUUGGAACGAUACCGAGAAGAUCAGCAUGGCCCCUGUGCAAGGAUGACAGGCAAAUUCGUGAAGCGUUCCAUAUAAGAAAUUUUU
Molecule: small nuclear RNA, 114 nt
Organism: Callithrix jacchus (white-tufted-ear marmoset)
Lineage: Eukaryota; Metazoa; Chordata; Mammalia; Primates; Cebidae
Source: Ensembl